UACGUAGGGGGCAAGCGUUAUCCGGAUUCACUGGGUGUAAAGGGAGCGUAGACGGCCAUGCAAGCCUGGAGUGAAAGCCCGGGGCCCAACCCCGGGACUGCUCUGGGAACUGUGCGGCUGGAGUGCGGGAGGGGCAGGCGGAAUUCCUGGUGUAGCGGUGAAAUGCGUAGAUAUCAGGAGGAACACCGGUGGCGAAGGCGGCCUGCUGGACUGCGACUGACGUUGAGGCCCGAAAGCGUGGGGAGCAAACAGG
Molecule: ribosomal RNA, 253 nt
Filed under: uncultured bacterium
Lineage: Bacteria
Description: partial 16S ribosomal RNA
Rfam family: Bacterial small subunit ribosomal RNA
Source: RNAcentral